RNAcentral lists this ribosomal RNA (305 nucleotides) under uncultured bacterium. Its description in RNAcentral is "bacterial SSU rRNA". It matches the Rfam family "Bacterial small subunit ribosomal RNA", at positions 334 to 639 of the family's 1533-position model. The record is from RNAcentral.
GUAGCCUACGGGGGCCGCAGUGAGGAAUCUUGGUCAAUGGGCGCGAGCCUGAACCAGCCAAGUCGCGUGAGGGAGUACUGCCCUAUGGGUUGUAAACCUCUUUUGUCGGGGAGCAAAAGCCGGACGUGUCCGUCUGUGAGAGUACCCGAAGAAAAAGCAUCGGCUAACUCCGUGCCAGCAGCCGCGGUAAUACGGAGGAUGCGAGCGUUAUCCGGAUUUAUUGGGUUUAAAGGGUGCGCAGGCGGAUUUUUAAGUUAGCGGUCAAAUCGUGGGGCUCAACCCCAUCCAGCCGUUGAAACUGGGGG